GAUCCCUGUGGAAAAUGGGGUCAAAGGUCACCACCAGAUUCUCCCUCACUUCCUCACUGGUGUGGAAGGGUUCAGAGGAGGGAGCACAGUUAGAAGAACCCUGGACCAAGGAAAAUUUCUUCCUUUCCUUCACUUGAAGCUGUCAGCAGGAUAAACUUCCCCUGGACAUUUGCUCUGAAGAUUCUGCAGCUUUGAGAUCUUGGGACAUAGGACACAAAAUCGACAGAAGGGAGAAGUGCAUCAAGCAAGGCACAACAACAAAAUAGGAUCUAUCAACAAAGAAGUCCAAAAAUUUCACGGUAUGACAAGAGAUUCACAAAGCUUCUAUUUC
Long non-coding RNA from Herpailurus yagouaroundi (jaguarundi), 331 nucleotides. RefSeq lists it as uncharacterized. The record is from RefSeq and is a predicted model, not a curated record. NCBI's taxonomy places the organism in Eukaryota, Metazoa, Chordata, Mammalia, Carnivora, Felidae. The transcript is spliced from 3 exons.